AACUUUCAACAACGGAUCUCUUGGCUCUGGCAUCGAUGAAGAACGCAGCGAAAUGCGAUAAGUAAUGCGAAUUGCAGAUUUCAGUGAAUCAUCGAAUUUUUGAACGCACAUUGCACCCGGCGGCCAUUCCGCCGGGUCUGCCUGUUCGAGCGUCGUUUCU
This 160-nucleotide ribosomal RNA is filed under the name Corollospora maritima. RNAcentral describes it as "5.8S ribosomal RNA". It matches the Rfam family "5.8S ribosomal RNA". From Rfam's summary of the family: 5.8S ribosomal RNA (5.8S rRNA) is a component of the large subunit of the eukaryotic ribosome. It is transcribed by RNA polymerase I as part of the 45S precursor that also contains 18S and 28S rRNA. Lineage: Eukaryota; Fungi; Ascomycota; Sordariomycetes; Microascales; Halosphaeriaceae. The record is from RNAcentral.